Molecule: ribosomal RNA, 192 nt
Filed under: uncultured Arcobacter sp.
Lineage: Bacteria; Pseudomonadati; Campylobacterota; Epsilonproteobacteria; Campylobacterales; Arcobacteraceae
Description: partial 16S ribosomal RNA
Rfam family: Bacterial small subunit ribosomal RNA
Source: RNAcentral
GUCGACGAUUACUCCUACGGGAGGCAGCAGUGGGGAAUAUUGCACAAUGGACGAAAGUCUGAUGCAGCAACGCCGCGUGGAGGAUGACACAUUUCGGUGCGUAAACUCCUUUUAUAUGGGAAGAUAAUGACGGUACCAUAUGAAUAAGCACCGGCUAACUCCGUGCCAGCAGCCGCGGUAAUAAUCUCUAGA